UUCUAUCAGGCACUAAUCUCACCCUAAAAGAUAGAACCCCCUCUGUCACUCUCACCCUAACAAACCCUUCAACAAUUGAGCCUGGUCGGUUGGUAAAAUACCUCCACCCACAACCGUUAGGUCCUGGGUUCGAGUCACCCUGGAGGAAAGUGUGAAAAUACUAUAAAUCCUUCUAAAUUGGAAAAAACAAAAACUCUCCCUAUCCCUCCCACCGAUCUGGCGCAUCCGGCGAAUCCGUCGUCUCUCUUCUCUUAAUCACUUCCCCUAAGGUCCUCGAUUGGAAAUUGAGUGAUGUGGCUUUCGAACAGGAAGCUUUGAGUCUCCAAUCGCCAACCUUCAUUGUGCGAAUCUAGAGUUCCAUCGUUGGUUUGAUUUGCUCUAUCAACUCCUAACUCCAAAUAAGCAAGGAGCGUCAGCCCUUGAGCUGGAAAUAUUACACAAAAGAAAUUGGUCCUCGCUUGGUAGACAUGUACUAAGAGGCAUGUGAAAGAGUGUGAGAAGAAGAGAACACAUGCGAGAGAAGAGGGAAUUGGAAAUUUCCAGAAACAUUUUCAUUUCUUGCUAACUGAUACAAAGGAACAGGAAUUAGAGCUUCUGAGGAAAGAUAUUUGAGAAAAAAUUUUCCAAGAGAUUAAGAUGAUUUUAAAAAAUGAGUUUAAAAGAUCCCCCAAAUAGCAGUUCUGUUUGGAUAAAUAUACAUGACAUUCUGAUGUUAAGAAGGCAGACCCAAUACAGAUUACACCGAGUGCUCAUUCAAAAAUGUUGCAAGAAAUGAGUAUGAUUCUUUUUGGAAUUUUAGUUUAUCUGAUAAUGUAAUAUUGAAGUACCUAUACUUAUUUUUUAAUAAUAUAUAUUUUACUUAAUUGA
Nicotiana tabacum (common tobacco) is the source of this 867-nucleotide non-coding RNA. The record is from RefSeq and is a predicted model, not a curated record. NCBI's taxonomy places the organism in Eukaryota, Viridiplantae, Streptophyta, Magnoliopsida, Solanales, Solanaceae.